GGGGUUGUGGCUCAGAGGUAGAGCGCUUGCCUAGCAUGCAUGGGGCACUGGGUUCAAUUCUCAGCACCACA
Molecule: transfer RNA, 71 nt
Filed under: Marmota monax (woodchuck)
Lineage: Eukaryota; Metazoa; Chordata; Mammalia; Rodentia; Sciuridae
Description: tRNA.Ala
Rfam family: tRNA
About the family: Transfer RNA (tRNA) molecules are approximately 80 nucleotides in length. Their secondary structure includes four short double-helical elements and three loops (D, anti-codon, and T loops).
Source: RNAcentral